This is a long non-coding RNA of Perca fluviatilis (European perch), 329 nucleotides long. RefSeq lists it as uncharacterized. NCBI's taxonomy places the organism in Eukaryota, Metazoa, Chordata, Actinopteri, Perciformes, Percidae. The transcript has 2 exons. The record is from RefSeq and is a predicted model, not a curated record.
CAGAGAGAGAGACGUCAGAGAGAGAGACAAAAGAGAGAGAGACAGCAGAGAGAGAGACAGCAGAGAGAGAGACAGCAGAGUGGACUCUGACUCUGAGCUCAGAGCUUGGUGUUUUCCCACGCUGCCUGCUGUCAGUGAAGCAGACAUGUCAUACCAGGACACAGCCGGGUCGGACGACAGCCAGGACUCCUUCUACUCCUCCAGAGGCCUCCAAACCGUCAUCGUACACGGACCGGACGAGCCCCCAAAACCUCCAGGAUCCUGAUCCAAAAACCAUCUGCUGCUUUCAGCACAAAGGUCACUUUGUAAUUAAAGUUAUUAAGCAUGAA